This 83-nucleotide non-coding RNA is filed under the name unclassified sequences. Its description in RNAcentral is "DUF3800-I RNA". It matches the Rfam family "DUF3800-I RNA", at positions 1 to 81 of the family's 115-position model. Rfam says of the family: Actinobacteria, Firmicutes, Fusobacteria, Proteobacteria (1 example), Tenericutes (2 examples). The record is from Rfam by way of RNAcentral.
UAUAACUACAGGUAGUAGUACACUGUGUACCGGUGAGCAGUGAAUUUACGUUUAAGCGUACUCUAAGUACGUCAUCUCGCUGG